GACCGGGUAUCUGGAUUCCAUAGGUUUUUCCUUUUCCCGUUGCUGGGUCAAGAGUCUCUUCGCAGCUUAGGGCUAGGAUCUUCAUUUGCCUUUUUUCUUUUUUGGAGGAAGGGGGUUGUGUCCACAUAUUUAAGUAUUUGAGGUUCUUGAGCAACUUCCUUCUUACUUCGCCUCGAGGCGUAUCCUUUUCUUAGCCUGAGGUGGGGUCCUCCCCAGUGAGAGAGAAAGUUGUUUGAGAUCCUUUCUUACUCUGUGCGUGGUUAAAGGCCUCCGGACUCAGUUCCAGGGAAAGGGAGAUGAGUGAUGGGGGGGCCGAGACUCGCGGGCUCUGCCCACUUCCGAAGAGUUAGACGCUUCCAUCUGGGUGGAGGGGUCCUGGGAACUAGAUUCCUGUGUUAGGAACCAAGUAGGUAUUGAGGGCGAAGAAACAAGUGGAAAGAGAGAUUUCUUUUCUUUUUUUUUUUUUUGAGACGAUGUCUUGCUCUGUCGCCCAGGCUAGAGUGCAGUGGCGCGGUCUCGGCUCACUGCAACCUCUGCCUCCCGGGUUCAAGCGAUUCGCCUGCCUCAGCCUCCCGAGUAGCUGGGAUUACAGGUGCCCGCCACCGCGCCCGGCUAAUUUUUAGAUUUUUAGUAGAGACGGGGUUUCACGAUGUUGGCCAGGCUGGUCUCGAACUCCUGACCUCGUUAUCCACCCGCCUCGGCCUCCCAAAGUGCUGGGAUUACAGGCGUGAGCCACUGCGCCCAGCCAGAAAAGAGACAUUUCUUAUGUGGAAGUCGUAGUAGUUCUCCAGGCUGGAGGACACACCUAAACAUGUGGAAUCCCAAUGCCGGUAGGUGUUUGGGGGUUCUCUUCCACCCCUAACCCUUUUUCUGAUGGGCCCUAUAACAGGAAGUUUCUGUAACAGCUCCCCUACCCCCGACCCGCCGUACCCGAAAAAGCAAAGUCCUUAGUGUACAGCUGACCAGUGCUUUUUAAUUUAAUUUUAUUUAUUUAUUUUUUGAGAUGGAGUCUCUGUCGCCCAGGCUCACUGCAACCUCCACCUCCUGGGUUCAAGCGAUUCUCCUGUUUCAGCCUCCGGAGUAGCUGAGAUUACAGGCGCAUGAUAUCACGCCUGGCUACUUUUUGUAUUUUUAGUAGAGACGGGGGUUUCACCAUGUUGGCCAGGCUGGUCUCGAACUCGUGGCCUCAUGAGAUCUGUCCACCUCGGCCUCCCAAAGUGCUGGGAUUACAGGCGUGAGCCACCGCGCCCGGCCUGACCAGUGCUUUUGUCUUCCUCAGAGUUCACUGUCUCCCUCCUCUCCCCAGCCCUUCCAGGGACAUUCCCCCUUUUCUCCCCACCUCAAGUUUGUCUCCCCUACCCUCCAUUCUCCUUUG
Molecule: small RNA, 1375 nt
Filed under: Pongo abelii (Sumatran orangutan)
Lineage: Eukaryota; Metazoa; Chordata; Mammalia; Primates; Hominidae
Description: retained intron
Source: RNAcentral